CAGAGGUCCCAAGCGUUGUUCGGAUUCACUGGGCGUAAAGGGUGCGCAGGUGGGUUUGCAAGUUCGAUGUGAAAGCCCCGGGCUUAACCCGGGAAUGGCAUUGGAUACUGCAGAUCUGGAGGAUCGGAGGGGGGUCUGGAAUUCUUGGUGUAGCAGUGAAAUGCGUAGAUAUCAAGAGGAACACCAGUGGCGAAGGCGAGUCCCUGGACGAUACCUGACACUGAGGCACGAAAGCUAGGGGAGCAAACAGGAUUAGAUACCCUGGUAGUCCUAGCUGUAAACGGUGCGCAUUUGCUGUAAACGGAAUCGACCCCGUUUGUGGCGAAGCUAACGCGAUAAAUGCGCCGCCUGGGAAGUACGGUCGCAAGAUUA
This 372-nucleotide ribosomal RNA is filed under the name uncultured organism. RNAcentral describes it as "bacterial SSU rRNA". It matches the Rfam family "Bacterial small subunit ribosomal RNA", at positions 526 to 896 of the family's 1533-position model. The record is from RNAcentral.